RNAcentral lists this ribosomal RNA (253 nucleotides) under uncultured bacterium. Its description in RNAcentral is "partial 16S ribosomal RNA". It matches the Rfam family "Bacterial small subunit ribosomal RNA", at positions 524 to 776 of the family's 1533-position model. The record is from RNAcentral.
UACGUAGGGGGCUAGCGUUGCUCGGAAUCACUGGGCGUAAAGCGCACGUAGGCGGUUUGCUAAGUCAGGGGUGAAAUCCUGGAGCUCAACUCCAGAACUGCCUUUGAUACUGGCGACCUUGAGUCCGGGAGAGGUGAGUGGAACUGCGAGUGUAGAGGUGAAAUUCGUAGAUAUUCGCAAGAACACCAGUGGCGAAGGCGGCUCACUGGCCCGGUACUGACGCUGAGGUGCGAAAGCGUGGGGAGCAAACAGG